This 161-nucleotide small nuclear RNA is filed under the name Echinops telfairi (small Madagascar hedgehog). RNAcentral's name for it is "U1 spliceosomal RNA (ENSETEG00000022261.1)". It matches the Rfam family "U1 spliceosomal RNA". From Rfam's summary of the family: U1 is a small nuclear RNA (snRNA) component of the spliceosome (involved in pre-mRNA splicing). Its 5' end forms complementary base pairs with the 5' splice junction, thus defining the 5' donor site of an intron. There are significant differences in sequence and secondary structure between metazoan and yeast U1 snRNAs, the latter being much longer (568 nucleotides as compared to 164 nucleotides in human). Lineage: Eukaryota; Metazoa; Chordata; Mammalia; Afrosoricida; Tenrecidae. The record is from RNAcentral.
AUACUUACCUGGCAGGGGAGAUACCAUGAUCAGGAAGGUGGUUUUCCCAGGGCCAGGCUUAUCCAUUGCACUCCGAUGUGCUGACCCCUGUGAUUUCCCCAAAUAUGGGAAACUCGACUGCAUAAAUUGUGGUAGUGGGGGACUGCGUUCACACUCNNNNN